GAUGAACGCUGGCGGCGUGCCUAAUACAUGCAAGUCGAGCGAAUGGAUUGAGAGCUUGCUCUUAUGAAGUUAGCGGCGGACGGGUGAGUAACACGUGGGUAACCUGCCCAUAAGACUGGGAUAACUCCGGGAAACCGGGGCUAAUACCGGAUAACAUUUUGAACCGCAUGGAUCGAAAUUGAAAGGCGGCUUCGGCUGUCACUUAUGGAUGGACCCGCGUCGCAUUAGCUAGUUGGUGAGGUAACGGCUCACCAAGGCAACGAUGCGUAGCCGACCUGAGAGGGUGAUCGGCCACACUGGGACUGAGACACGGCCCAGACUUCUACGGGAGGCAGCAGUAGGGAAUCUUCCGCAAUGGACGAAAGUCUGACGGAGCAACGCCGCGUGAGUGAUGAAGGCUUUCGGGUCGUAAAACUCUGUUGUUAGGGAAGAACAAGUGCUAGUUGAAUAAGCUGGCACCUUGACGGUACCUAACCAGAAAGCCACGGCUAACUACGUGCCAGCAGCCGCAGUAA
This 515-nucleotide ribosomal RNA is filed under the name uncultured bacterium. Its description in RNAcentral is "partial 16S ribosomal RNA". It matches the Rfam family "Bacterial small subunit ribosomal RNA", at positions 28 to 523 of the family's 1533-position model. The record is from RNAcentral.